CCUACGGGAGGCAGCAGUAGGGAAUAUUGCUCAAUGGGGGAAACCCUGAAGCAGCAACGCCGCGUGGAGGAUGAAGGUUUUCGGAUUGUAAACUCCUUUUGUUAGAGAAGAUAAUGACGGUAUCUAACGAAUAAGCACCGGCUAACUCCGUGCCGGCAGCCGCGGUAAUACGGAGGGUGCAAGCGUUACUCGGAAUCACUGGGCGUAAAGAGCGCGUAGGCGGGAUAGCAAGUCAGAUGUGAAAUCCUAGGGCUUAACCAUAGAACUGCAUUUGAAACUGGUAUUCUAGAGUAUGGGAGAGGUAGGUAGAAUUCUUGGUGUAGGGGUAAAAUCCGUAGAGAUCAAGAGGAAUACUCAUUGCGAAGGCGACCUGCUAGAACAUAACUGACGCUGAUGUGCGAAAGCGUGGGGAGCAAACAGGAUUAGAUACCCUUGUAGUC
Molecule: ribosomal RNA, 440 nt
Filed under: uncultured bacterium
Lineage: Bacteria
Description: partial 16S ribosomal RNA
Rfam family: Bacterial small subunit ribosomal RNA
Source: RNAcentral